RNAcentral lists this ribosomal RNA (73 nucleotides) under Durinskia baltica. RNAcentral's name for it is "partial 5.8S ribosomal RNA". The record is from RNAcentral. Lineage: Eukaryota; Dinophyceae; Peridiniales; Kryptoperidiniaceae.
GCGGCGGAUUCCAAGGCCCUGACGGAGAAGGGCGCGGCAAAGGCCGACAUGGAGGCCCAGAAGCAGUCCCGCG